AAGCUCAGAAAAUAAAAUAAAGACUCCCCGCCGCCCAGAAGAAAUAUUAGCCAACCCAAGAUUUUUUAAACCAUUAUUCAAGUUUAUAUGUUCGACAAUAGAGAAGAUAUGAUAAGAAAAAAAAAAAAAAAUCUGAAGUGUAGAAGUUUUUGUUUAUAAUUAUAUACAUAAUAAAACAGUAAAAAUUUGUACAGUUUAGAGCGAAGGACUCGAAUCCAGCUCUCAAUAAAUUAAAAAAAAAAAAAAAAAAAAAAAAAUAUGAAAAAUUUUUUUUUAUAA
This is a long non-coding RNA of Melitaea cinxia (Glanville fritillary), 279 nucleotides long. RefSeq lists it as uncharacterized. The record is from RefSeq and is a predicted model, not a curated record. NCBI's taxonomy places the organism in Eukaryota, Metazoa, Arthropoda, Insecta, Lepidoptera, Nymphalidae. The transcript has 3 exons.